CUCGAGUAAGGCGGGACACGUGAAAUCCUGUCUGAAAUUGGGGGGACCACCCUCCAAGCCUAAAUACUCGCACAUGACCGAUAGCGAACACAGUACCGUGAGGGAAAGGUGAAAAGCACCCCGAUUAGGGGAGUGAAACAGUACCUGAAACCGGAUGCUUACAAGCAGUUGGAGCCCCAUAGGGGGUGACAGCGUACCUCUUGCAUAAUGGGUCAGUGACUUAAUUUAUCGAGCAAGCUUAAGCCGUUAGGUGUAGGCGUAGCGAAAGCGAGUCUGAAUAGGGCGAUUCAGUCGCAUGUCCUAGACCCGAAGCGAAGUGAUCUAUCCAUGGCCAGGUUGAAGCACGUGUAAGAGCGUGUGGAGGACCGAACCCACUUAGGUUGAAAACUGAGGGGAUGAGCUGUGGAUAGGGGUGAAAGGCCAAUCAAACUUCGUGAUAGCUGGUUCUCUCCGAAAUGCAUUUAGGUGCAGCGUUGCGUGUUUCUUGCCGGAGGUAGAGCUACUGGAUGGCCGAUGGGCCCUACAAGGUUACUGACGUCAGCCAAACUCCGAAUGCCGGUAAGUGAGAGCGCAGCAGUGAGACUGUGGGGGAUAAGCUUCAUAGUCGAGAGGGAAACAACCCAGACCACCAACUAAGGUCCCAAAGCGCGUGCUAAGUGGGAAAGGAUGUGGAGUUGCUGUGACAACCAGGAGGUUGGCUUAGAAGCAGCCACCCUUGAAAGAGUGCGUAAUAGCUCACUGGUCAAGUGAUUCCGCGCCGACAAUGUAACGGGGCUCAAGCACGCCACCGAAGUUGUGGCAUUGACAUUAUUGGUAGGCCUUCGUGGUCCAGCCGUGUUGAUGGGUAGGAGAGCGUCGUGUGGCCAGCGAAGCGGCGGUGUAAACCAGCCGUGGAGGCUACACGAGUGAGAAUGCAGGCAUGAGUAGCGAAUGCAGAGUGAGAAUCUCUGCCGCCGGAUGACCAAGGGUUCCUGGGCCAGGUUGUUCCGCCCAGGGUGAGCCGGGACCUAAGGCGAGGCCGUCAGGCGUAGUCGAUGGACAACGGGUUGAUAUUCCCGUGCUCGUGAUAGUGCGUCCAUGCCGAGGCUGGUGAUGCUAACCAUCCGAACCCACCUUCGCUCCUUCGGGAGUGUUGUUUGUGGGGGAGCGUGGGAUCCGAUCUGGUAGUAGGCAAGUGAUGGGGUGACGCAGGAGGGUAGCUCCGCCACGCGGUGGUUGUCGUGGUGUAAGCCUGUAGCCCGAGUCCUAGGUAAAUCCGGGGCUCAUUAAAGGGUGAGAGGUGAUGCGUAGCCGAUUGAGGCGAAGAGAGUGAUCCCAUGCUGUCGAGAAAAGCCUCUAGCGAGUGCUGUUGCGGCCCGUACCCCAAACCGACACAGGUGGUCAGGUAGAGAAUACCGAGGCGAUCGAGCGAACUGUGGUUAAGGAAUUCGGCAAAAUACCUCCGUAACUUCGGGAGAAGGAGGGCCGGU
This 1469-nucleotide ribosomal RNA is filed under the name Durinskia baltica. Its description in RNAcentral is "partial Bacterial large subunit ribosomal RNA". It matches the Rfam family "Bacterial large subunit ribosomal RNA", at positions 407 to 1755 of the family's 2925-position model. The record is from RNAcentral. Lineage: Eukaryota; Dinophyceae; Peridiniales; Kryptoperidiniaceae.